CAAUAGCGUAUAUUAAAGUUGUUGCAGUUAAAAAGCUCGUAGUUGAAGAUCUGGGUGAAGGCCGUGUCAUUGACACUAGGCCGGACCCCUAUUCACGAGGAAGCCUUAGUGCAUUAACUUGUGCUUUGGUCGAUUCGUGUCGUUUACUGUGAACAAAUUAGGGUGUUUAAAGCAGACCUCUGUUUGUAUACAUUAGCAUGGAAUAAUUAGAUAUGACUUCAGUUAUAUUUUGUUGGUGAUAACUAAAGUAAUGAUUGAUAGGAACAGUCGUGGGUAUUCGUAUGAGCAUGUCAGAGGUGAAAUUCUUGGAUUUUGAUCAGACGAACUACUGCGAAAGCAUUUACCAAGGAUGUUUNCAUUAA
RNAcentral lists this ribosomal RNA (362 nucleotides) under uncultured eukaryote. RNAcentral's name for it is "partial 18S ribosomal RNA". It matches the Rfam family "Eukaryotic small subunit ribosomal RNA", at positions 592 to 976 of the family's 1831-position model. The record is from RNAcentral.